GUGGGGAAUAUUGCACAAUGGGCGAAAGCCUGAUGCAGCAACGCCGCGUGAGGGACGACGGCCUUCGGGUUGUAAACCUCUUUUAGUAGGGAAGAAGCGAAAGUGACGGUACCUGCAGAAACAGCACCGGCUAACUACGUGCCAGCAGCCGCGGUAAUACGUAGGGUGCAAGCGUUAUCCGGAAUUAUUGGGCGUAAAGAGCUCGUAGGCGGUCUGUCGCGUCUGCUGUGAAAACUGGAGGCUCAACCUCCAGCCUGCAGUGGGUACGGGCAGACUAAGGUGCGGUAGGGGAGAUUGGAAUUCCUGGUGUAGCGGUGGAAUGCGCAGAUAUCAGGAGGAACACCGAUGGCGAAGGCAGAUCUCUGGGCCGUAACUGACGCUGAGGAGCGAAAGCGUGGGGAGCGAACAGGAUUAGAAACCCCAGUAGUCC
RNAcentral lists this ribosomal RNA (430 nucleotides) under uncultured bacterium. RNAcentral describes it as "partial 16S ribosomal RNA". It matches the Rfam family "Bacterial small subunit ribosomal RNA", at positions 354 to 796 of the family's 1533-position model. The record is from RNAcentral.